This 492-nucleotide ribosomal RNA is filed under the name uncultured bacterium. RNAcentral describes it as "partial 16S ribosomal RNA". It matches the Rfam family "Bacterial small subunit ribosomal RNA", at positions 29 to 507 of the family's 1533-position model. The record is from RNAcentral.
AGUGAACGCUGGCGGUAGGCCUAACACAUGCAAGUCGAACGGCAGCACAGUAAGAGCUUGCUCUUACGGGUGGCGAGUGGCGGACGGGUGAGGAAUACAUCGGAAUCUACUUUUUCGUGGGGGAUAACGUAGGGAAACUUACGCUAAUACCGCAUACGACCUACGGGUGAAAGCAGGGGAUCUUCGGACCUUGCGCGAUUGAAUGAGCCGAUGUCGGAUUAGCUAGUUGGCGGGGUAAAGGCCCACCAAGGCGACGAUCCGUAGCUGGUCUGAGAGGAUGACAGGCCCAAGUGAGAAGGAAAACGGGCCAGGCCUCCUACGGGAGGAGGCAGGGGGGAAUAUUGGAAAAAGGGGGCAGUCUGGACCCAGCCAUACCGGGUGGGGAAAGAAGGCUUUCGGGUUGUAAGGCCUUUUUUGGGGAAAAAAAAAGCAGCAGGUUAAUACCCCGCUGUUCUGAGGGUACCAAAAAAAUAAGCACGGGCUAACCUCGGG